RNAcentral lists this ribosomal RNA (253 nucleotides) under uncultured bacterium. Its description in RNAcentral is "partial 16S ribosomal RNA". It matches the Rfam family "Bacterial small subunit ribosomal RNA", at positions 524 to 776 of the family's 1533-position model. The record is from RNAcentral.
UACGGAAGGUUCGGGCGUUAUCCGGAUUUAUUGGGUUUAAAGGGAGCGCAGGCGGACUUAUAAGUCAGUUGUGAAAUACGGCGGCUCAACCGUCGAGGUGCAGUUGAUACUGUAAGUCUUGAGUGCGCGCAGGGAUACUGGAAUUCAUGGUGUAGCGGUGAAAUGCUUAGAUAUCAUGAAGAACUCCGUUCGCGAAGGCGUGUAUCCGGAGCGCAACUGACGCUGAGGCUCGAAAGUGCGGGUAUCGAACAGG